This 1265-nucleotide long non-coding RNA is filed under the name Homo sapiens (human). Its description in RNAcentral is "HSALNT0363577". The record is from RNAcentral. Lineage: Eukaryota; Metazoa; Chordata; Mammalia; Primates; Hominidae.
GGCUGGAACCUGGCCCUGAGAGACCCAUUGCCUUUCUCUGUUCUGUAACCUCUUCCCAUAGAGAUUUUUAUCCUGUAACCCUGUGGUCAUCACCAUGCCUCCCAUUUAUGUGCAGUUCCUAUGGGCUCCUGAUGCUUUCCUGGAUUUCUCCCAGGAGAGGCUGUUGGGUGUUGGGGUGUUGGGGAAGAGAAUUAGUGUUCUGCAGUCUGGAGUUCACUGGUCUGCAGACUGCUAAAAGUCUGGGGGCUGCGUCUGCCAGGGAUAGUGGCUCUGGCUGGUAUGGGGACCAAGGGCAAAAGGAUCAGUGAUUUCAGCAGAUGCCUUUGAGCCCCGAGUCUCUGGCUGUGGACUAGUCCAGUAGAAAGAGUGUCUUGGAGUGUGGCAGAGUCCCAGUCCCCUGUCUUUCUUACUGUCAAAACCAAGGUUUGGGCAAUCGAUGAUCUAGCUAAAAAAACGAUGUUUUUCAGCCUGUCCUUUCUGGGCUCCUCCUGUCCCAAACACAGAUGUGAAGCAAUGUGCGAGAAUUCCUAUUCUACAAUCGCUGUGUAUAUUUAACACUAUGAAGCUUCUCUUUUUUGCCAGUCUGACGGAUAUGAUGGGGCAUCGCUUACUGCUUUCAUUCCCAUUUCCUUCAUCAUCAUUGAGGGUCUGGGAGAGAGCUUUGGGAUCGAGACUCAGCCCAAGGGCAGCAGGGAGCCAAGGGGCUGGGGCUGCCCGUGGGGAGUGUGUGAAUCAAAGGAGCAGACCGCAGCUGGAGCCACCUCGCCUGGAUUCCUGAACGCAGACUCUUGACAGACCGAUUGUGUAACGGCAUUCCUCCCAAGGAAACACGCCUGCCCCCUCCAAGAAGGAUGGAGGCAGAAGAGGUGCUGAGUCUGGAACCCAUGGCUGCUGCGGACGAGGAGCUGGGUGAUGCUUGCCUGGGCACCGUAUCGCUCUCAUCCUGUUUUCUCGCCUGUGAAAUGGGAAUGGCGCUCAUGCUUCUCUGUGGGAUGCUGGGAAAGGAACAUGAGGGCGUCCAUGGAAGUGUUUGAGGCAUGCCUGCUCCAGGGGGAAGCUCCAGAAAUGACACCUAUGAUCUCCCAGCUGUGUUCCCUUUAAGUUAACAAACACUCGUCUGGUCUGGGGCUGGGGUACAGCGAUGAGGAUGACCUGGUCCGAGCCCCAGGAAUGUGGGCCGUAGGAAGGGCAUGGGCAUGAAAGACGUGCUCAGGGGACCCCUUCCAGGUGUCACCAAAGAGCCCUGGGUUGUGGUGUCGGCGGGA